CGCGGGGAACUGUGUGAGGGGUGGGGGAAACUUUGAAAGUUGGAUGCUGCAGACCCGAUGACGCAACUAAGACACUGAGAGGUGAAGUAACUGCCAGGAAGGCCAGGAUCUGGGCUUUGCAAUCAGGGUUCUUCUUUUGCUGCAUCUGGAGGCAUGGGUAGCAAGAAACUAAGACGAGUGGGUUUAUCACAAGAGCUGUGUGACCGUCUGAGCAGACAUCAGAUUGUUACCUGUCGGGACUUUUUAUGUCUUUCUCCACUGGAGCUUAUGAAAAUGACUGGCCUUAGUUAUCGAGGUGUCCAUGAACUUCUGUGUAUGGUCAGCAGGGCCUGUGCCCCACGGAUGCAAACGGCUUAUGGGAUAAAGACACAAAGGUCUGGUGCUCUCUCGCCAGCCUUCUUGCCUACAACCCUUUCUGCUUUGGAUGAGGCCCUGCAUGGUGGCGUAGCUUGUGGAUCCCUCACAGAGAUUACAGGUCCACCAGGUUGUGGAAAAACUCAGUUUUGUAUAAUGAUGAGCAUUUUGGCUACAUUACCCAUUGACAUGGGAGGAUUGGAAGGAGCUGUUGUGUACAUUGACACAGAGGCAGCAUUUAGUGCUGAACGACUGGUUGAGAUAGCAGAAUCUCGUUUUCCCAGCUAUUUUAACAAUGAAGACAAAUUACUUUUGACAAGCAGUAACGUUCAUCUUUACCGGGAACUCAGUUGUGAUGAGGUUCUACAAAGGGUUGAAUCUUUAGAAGAAGAAAUUAUUUCAAAAGGAGUUAAACUUGUGAUUAUUGACUCUGUUGCUUCUGUGGUAAGAAAGGAGUUUGAUACACAACUUCAAGGCAACAUGAGAGAAAGGAACAAGUUCUUGGCAAGAGAAGCAGCUUCCUUGAAGUAUUUGGCUGAGGAAUUUUCAAUCCCAGUUAUCUUGACGAAUCAAAUUACCACCCAUCUGAGCGGAGCCCCAGCUUCUCAGGCAGACCUGGUGUCUCCAGCUGAUGAUUUGUCCCCGUCUGAAGGCCCUUCUGGAUCCAGCUGUGUGACAGCUGCACUAGGAAACACCUGGAGUCACAGUGUGAACACUCGGCUGAUUCUCCAGUACCUUGGUUCAGAGAGAAGACAGAUUCUCAUUGCCAAGUCUCCUCUGGCUCCCUUUACCUCAUUUGUCUACACCAUCAAGAAGGAAGGCCUGGUUCUUCAAGGCCAACAGAGGCCAUAGGGACACUAUGACCUUUGUCUAGAGCUGAUGGGGGCACGAUUUGUGAAAUGAAACAGGACUGUGCUGCUUGGAAGAAGGAAACGGAAGCCAACAUAAUGGGGAUUAAUUAGUUGAUUGCUGUUGAGAUGGUAACAGAUUUGCCCUCAUACCAUUGAGCCAGCCAUCUCAGACCUAGCAGGGAAGAUGAGGAAUGAGGAAGAAAAAUUCAGUCUCUUCCUAGAAAGUGAUGGAAGGCGGAGCUGAACCCAGGCCAUCUUGCCUCUUCCUCUCUCACCCUCGCCCGAGUAGUAAUUCUGUUCACAUCUGUUACCACCUCUCCUCAAUUCACUGGUCAUCCUCAGUUCACUAAAGUGCUCAGUCCAACACUCUACACAAAAUAGGAACUUAGUGAAUAUUUUCCAAAUAAAAGCAUCACUAGGAGCAGUGCUAGUGGUUUGAUUCCACUGGGAGAAGUGGCUACAGAAGACAUGGAUAGUGGUGCUGAGAAUACAGUAGGGCUCCAUCACUGUAUUCUCAUUUCACCGUUAUUAAAGAUGAGGAGACAUGCACAGGAAAGUGGCCCCAGGGAAUGUUUGCAAGAAAGAAGACACAGGUGGUGUUCAUGAACUGAAAAUCUGCCAAAUCGGUGCCACCCAUGAGAUGCUAGUGAGGCAUCUUGUAUUGUUAAUUACUUUUAUUGAACUUGGAUGUGAUGCAGUGAUUUUUUUCUUAGUGUGUGUGUACAUAUACAUAUGUAUGACAGAGUCCAACUCUGUCUCAUUAUUGUGCUAGCCUCCCAGUUGCUAUAUUGAUGUGCUGCAGUCCUGGUGAAGAUUGAGAAGAGUGUGGUCCCUCUCAACCCACAGAGUGAGCAUUUCUGGAUUAAGGCAGAAGUGCUGAACUCCAUGCACAGUGUCUUUUAUGUUGUAUAUGGUGAGCAAAGUUACUGCUCAGAGAGGAUUCUAAAAGUUUGUCCAGGAUUACCAAAUGAGAAUUCUGGAGAUGGAGAUUGAGGAUUAGGUAAUUGGCGGGUGGGAGCCAGGGGAGGGGAGGGAAACGAAGUCAAGGGGAAGUGCAAAAUAUCUGAUUGUGCCCCAAAAAGCUGUGGUCUUAGAAGCACUUGGGAGUGUUAUUUUUUUCUGUUACUUUUGUCCUAUGGCUGUGAAAGGACUUUAUUCCACUAGAGAAUUCAGUGGAGGUCUCUUUUGCUCAAAUGAGAGGAAGGAGCCCAUCACAUUCUCAGAAGAAUGUCCUAAG
This is an RNA transcript of Equus quagga, 2442 nucleotides long. It is a transcript of the gene named DNA repair protein RAD51 homolog 2, with no coding region annotated. NCBI's taxonomy places the organism in Eukaryota, Metazoa, Chordata, Mammalia, Perissodactyla, Equidae. The record is from RefSeq and is a predicted model, not a curated record. The transcript is spliced from 13 exons.